This is a long non-coding RNA of Mus caroli (Ryukyu mouse), 598 nucleotides long. RefSeq lists it as uncharacterized. The record is from RefSeq and is a predicted model, not a curated record. NCBI's taxonomy places the organism in Eukaryota, Metazoa, Chordata, Mammalia, Rodentia, Muridae.
AUAAUCAGGGGAUUUGGGCAAGAGCUCCAUGAGAGGAAAAGGGGUCCUACUGCUUGGCAUCAGACUAAAGUGACUUGUGGAAGUUGGUUGACUGGCAGCUCGGAAGCUUCCUGGUGUAUGGGGUGAGAAGAUGGGGAUCUAGUUUAACGUUCUGCAUGCAGACACACUCUGUCUGUUGAAGAUGCUAUCAUCGUCCUGAAUUCUCUCAGGACAGAGAAACAGCCACAUGGAGGGCUUUCCUCAACAGCACAGGAAGGUGUUCAUGCCCAGCACUCAGGAACUCUGCAACUGUCAAGGACUCCCACCUUAUCCUCAGGCUUUUCUAGCAAAAUCUCUCCUCCCCUGCCUUUGGUGAAGUUGCUACCACAUGGGGUGUGCCCAUCUGCAGGAAAUGGAGGAAGGACCUCAGCCAGUAAUCAGCAAGUGUGUGACCGACAGCCUCGACCAAAAUCCCUCCAGAAUUCCAUGAGACAACCUGGAAAUGGGCUAUUCCCCAAUCAAGCCUUUCAAUACAGGCUUGUCAAAGACCCCCAAAGCAGAGAAUGCAGGGUUCAGAGACCGAGACAAUAAGUUAGGUUCUUAACCAAUAAAUUUAAGG